AUGCAGGAAAGAGCAAAGCUUUCAGCUGCAACUGCAAUUCAAGCACGCAGAAGAAAUCACAAUAAAGCAAUGUCUUACGAUGAUGUAGAAAUUGAAGACAUGGAGUGGAAUGAGGAGUUGCAGUCAUACACAUAUCCUUGUCCAUGUGGGGACCUGUUCCAGAUCACAAAGGAAGAUCUCAAGCUUGAACAAACAAGGCUCUUCAGCCAUCCAAGCAACAAGCUGUCACUGUUGCUUGAAUUUCAAUUUCAGAUAUCCUGA
This is a non-coding RNA of Vicia faba (fava bean), 261 nucleotides long. The record is from the annotation of a GenBank genome assembly. Lineage: Eukaryota; Viridiplantae; Streptophyta; Magnoliopsida; Fabales; Fabaceae.